Molecule: long non-coding RNA, 95 nt
Organism: Etheostoma cragini (Arkansas darter)
Lineage: Eukaryota; Metazoa; Chordata; Actinopteri; Perciformes; Percidae
Exons: 3
Source: RefSeq, a predicted model, not a curated record
GGAAUUAUAAAUAAAGAAGUACAGAUAAGUGAAAAUUCUACUUAAGUACAUUAACAAAGUAUUUGUCCUUCGUUACAUUACAACACUUACAGUAA